CUUCCAGACUCCUACGGGAGGCAGCAGUGGGGAAUAUUGCACAAUGGGCGCAAGCCUGAUGCAGCCAUGCCGCGUGUAUGAAGAAGGCCUUCGGGUUGUAAAGUACUUUCAGCGGGGAGGAAGGGGUUAAGGUUAAUAACCUUAGCCAUUGACGUUACCCGCAGAAGAAGCACCGGCUAACUCCGUGCCAGCAGCCGCGGUAAUACGGAGGGUGCAAGCGUUAAUCGGAAUUACUGGGCGUAAAGCGCACGCAGGCGGUCUGUCAAGUCGGAUGUGAAAUCCUCGGGCUCAACCUGGGAACUGCAUUCGAAACUGGCAGGCUGGAGUCUUGUAGAGGGGGGUAGAAUUCCAGGUGUAGCGGUGAAAUGCGUAGAGAUCUGGAGGAAUACCGGUGGCGAAGGCGGCCCCCUGGACAAAGACUGACGCUCAGGUGCGAAAGCGUGGGGAGCAAACAGGAUUAGAUACCCUCGUAAA
RNAcentral lists this ribosomal RNA (474 nucleotides) under uncultured bacterium. RNAcentral describes it as "bacterial SSU rRNA". It matches the Rfam family "Bacterial small subunit ribosomal RNA", at positions 328 to 794 of the family's 1533-position model. The record is from RNAcentral.